Molecule: long non-coding RNA, 339 nt
Organism: Trichomycterus rosablanca
Lineage: Eukaryota; Metazoa; Chordata; Actinopteri; Siluriformes; Trichomycteridae
Exons: 3
Source: RefSeq, a predicted model, not a curated record
CACACACACCACCAGGAACACACCACCAGGAACACACCACCGAGAAGAACAUACCACUAAUCGACAAACACAAGUGGAUCAGAUUUAGGACUCUGUCAGAAUCGAGUGUGUUACUCACGGUGCAGGUGACAGAUUUGGCGGUGCUGGACUCCUGGAAGUGCAGGGUGAAGUCAUGGUCCCCGGGGUAAUCUGAGGAGACGGGGACGGUGGAGGAGGACGGAGGAGAGGACGAGGGCUGAGGCUGCAGGGGGAAGUGGCUAUAUCAAUAAAAACAGCUGCUGCUGAUGAUGAUUAUAGAUGGUGAAGGUUGUACUUACACUAAGUUGUGGAACCAGAGCU